GACGAACGCUGGCGGCGUGCCUAAUACAUGCAAGUAGAACGCUGAAGGAGGAGCUUGCUCUUCUGGAUGAGUUGCGAACGGGUGAGUAACGCGUAGGUAACCUGCCUGGUAGCGGGGGAUAACUAUUGGAAACGAUAGCUAAUACCGCAUAACAGUAGAUGUUGCAUGACAUUUACUUAAAAGGUGCAAUUGCAUCACUACCAGAUGGACCUGCGUUGUAUUAGGUAGUUGGUGGGGUAACGGCUCACCAAGGCGACGAUACAUAGCCGACCUGAGAGGGUGAUCGGCCACACCGGGACUGAGACACGGCCCAGACUCCUACGGGAGGCAGCAGUAGGGAAUCUUCGGCAAUGGACGGAAGUCUGACCGAGCAACGCCGCGUGAGUGAAGAAGGUUUUCGGAUCGUAAAGCUCUGUUGUAAGAGAAGAACGAGUGUGAGAGUGGAAAGUUCACACUGUGACGGUAUCUUACCAGAAAGGGACGGCUAACUACGUG
This 495-nucleotide ribosomal RNA is filed under the name uncultured bacterium. RNAcentral's name for it is "partial 16S ribosomal RNA". It matches the Rfam family "Bacterial small subunit ribosomal RNA", at positions 28 to 507 of the family's 1533-position model. The record is from RNAcentral.